GAUGAACGCUGGCGGCGUGCCUAAUACAUGCAAGUCGAGCGAACGGACGAGAAGCUUGCUUUUCUGAUGUUAGCGGCGGACGGGUGAGUAACACGUGGAUAACCUACCUAUAAGACUGGGAUAACUUCGGGAAACCGGAGCUAAUACCGGAUAAUAUUUUGAACCGCAUGGUUCAAAAGUGAAAGACGGUCUUGCUGUCACUUAUAGAUGGAUCCGCGCUGCAUUAGCUAGUUGGUAAGGUAACGGCUUACCAAGGCAACGAUGCAUAGCCGACCUGAGAGGGUGAUCGGCCACACUGGAACUGAGACACGGUCCAGACUCCAACGGGAGGCAGCAGUAGGGAAUCUUCCGCAAUGGGCGAAAGCCUGACGGAGCAACGCCGCGUGAGUGAUGAAGGUCUUCGGAUCGUAAAACUCUGUUAUUAGGGAAGAACAUAUGUGUAAGUAACUGUGCACAUCUUGACGGUACCUAAUCAGAAAGCCACGGCUAACUACGUGCCAGCAGCCGCGGUAAUACGUAGGUGGCAAGCGUUAUCCGGAAUUAUUGGGCGUAAAGCGCGCGUAGGCGGUUUUUUAAGUCUGAUGUGAAAGCCCACGACUCAACCGUGGAGGGUCAUUGGAAACUGGAAAACUUGAGUGCAGAAGAGGAAAGGGGAAUUCCAUGUGUAGCGGUGAAAUGCGCAGAGAUAUGGAGGAACACCAGUGGCGAAGGCGACUUUCUGGUCUGUAACUGACGCUGAUGUGCGAAAGCGUGGGGAUCAAACAGGAUUAGAUACCCUGGUAGUCCACGCCGUAAACGAUGAGUGCUAAGUGUUAGGGGGUUUCCGCCCCUUAGUGCUGCAGCUAACGCAUUAAGCACUCCGCCUGGGGAGUACGACCGCAAGGUUGAAACUCAAAGGAAUUGACGGGGACCCGCACAAGCGGUGGAGCAUGUGGUUUAAUUCGAAGCAACGCGAAGAACCUUACCAAAUCUUGACAUCCUUUGACAACUCUAGAGAUAGAGCCUUCCCCUUCGGGGGACAAAGUGACAGGUGGUGCAUGGUUGUCGUCAGCUCGUGUCGUGAGAUGUUGGGUUAAGUCCCGCAACGAGCGCAACCCUUAAGCUUAGUUGCCAUCAUUAAGUUGGGCACUCUAAGUUGACUGCCGGUGACAAACCGGAGGAAGGUGGGGAUGACGUCAAAUCAUCAUGCCCCUUAUGAUUUGGGCUACACACGUGCUACAAUGGACAAUACAAAGGGCAGCGAAACCGCGAGGUCAAGCAAAUCCCAUAAAGUUGUUCUCAGUUCGGAUUGUAGUCUGCAACUCGACUACAUGAAGCUGGAAUCGCUAGUAAUCGUAGAUCAGCAUGCUACGGUGAAUACGUUCCCGGGUCU
This 1372-nucleotide ribosomal RNA is filed under the name uncultured bacterium. RNAcentral's name for it is "bacterial SSU rRNA". It matches the Rfam family "Bacterial small subunit ribosomal RNA", at positions 28 to 1381 of the family's 1533-position model. The record is from RNAcentral.